GAUGAAGAACGUAGCGAAAUGCGAUACUUGGUGUGAAUUGCAGAAUCCCGUGAACCAUCGAGUCUUUGAACGCAAGUUGCGCCUCAAGCCAUUAGGUUGAGGGCACGUCUGCCUGGGCGUCACAUAUCGUUGCCUGAUGCCAGUUUCCUCGUGAUGGGUGACUGUGCAGGGCGAAUGAUGGCUUCCCGUGAGCAUUGUUGCCUCAUGGUUGGUUGAAAAUUGAGUCCUUGGUAGGGAGCGCCGUGAUAGAUGGUGGUUGAGUGACGAACGAGACCCAAUCAUGUGAGACCCCUACCGAAUUUGGCCUUCAUGACCCACAUGCGUCUUUGGAACGCUCAUGACGAGACCUCAGGUCAGGCGGGGCUACCCGCUGAGUUUAAGCAUAUCAAUGCGGAGGA
This 398-nucleotide unclassified non-coding RNA is filed under the name soil metagenome. RNAcentral's name for it is "partial contains 5.8S ribosomal RNA, internal transcribed spacer 2, and large subunit ribosomal RNA". The stretch from base 1 to 122 matches the Rfam family "5.8S ribosomal RNA", at positions 35 to 154 of the family's 154-position model. The record is from RNAcentral.